RNAcentral lists this ribosomal RNA (164 nucleotides) under Pommereschea lackneri. RNAcentral's name for it is "5.8S ribosomal RNA". It matches the Rfam family "5.8S ribosomal RNA". From Rfam's summary of the family: 5.8S ribosomal RNA (5.8S rRNA) is a component of the large subunit of the eukaryotic ribosome. The record is from RNAcentral. Lineage: Eukaryota; Viridiplantae; Streptophyta; Magnoliopsida; Zingiberales; Zingiberaceae.
CAAAUGACUCUCGGCAAUGGAUAUCUCGGCUCUUGCAUCGAUGAAGAACGUAGUGAAAUGCGAUACUUGGUGUGAAUUGCAGAAUCUCGUGAACCAUUGAGUCUUUGAACGCAAGUUGUGCCCGAGGCCUUGUGGUCGAGGCACGCCUGCUUGGGCGUCAUGAC